Molecule: long non-coding RNA, 1159 nt
Filed under: Salmo salar (Atlantic salmon)
Lineage: Eukaryota; Metazoa; Chordata; Actinopteri; Salmoniformes; Salmonidae
Description: lncRNA (ENSSSAG00000067152.2)
Source: RNAcentral
AAUGCAUAUUCUCGUUUCUGGGCAAGAGUAGUAACCAGUUUAAAUUGGGUACGUUUUUUAUCCGGCCGUGAAAAUACUGCCCCCUAUCCUAGACAGGUUAAACUGACUUGGCACUCCGUCACUGCUUGCCAAGCGGUAAUAGAGAGAACAGUCUAUGACUGGGGUGGCUGGGGUCUCUGACAAUUUAUAGGGCCUUCCUCUGACACCGCCUGGUGUAGAGGUCCUGGAAGGAAGGCAGCUUAGCCCCAGUGAUGUACUGGGCCGUACGCACUACCCUUUGUAGUGCCUUGCCGUCUGAGGCCGAGCAACUGCCGUACAAGGCAGUGAUGCAACCGGUCAGGAUGCUCUCAAUGUUGUAGCUGUAGAACCUUUUGAGGAUUUCAGGACCCAUGCCAAAUCUUUUUAGUUUCCUGAGGGGGAAUAGGCUUUGUCGUGCCCUCUUCACCACUGUCUUGGUGUGUUUGGACAAUUCUAGUUUGUUGUUGAUGUGGAAACCAAGGAACUUGAAGCUCUCAACCUGCUCCACUACAACCCUGUCGAUGAGAAUGGGGGCGUGCCCGGUCCUCCUUUUCCUGUAGUCCACAAUCAUCUCCUUAUUCUUGGUUAUGUUGAGGGAUAGGUUGUAAUUCUGGCACCAUCCAACCAGAUCUCUGACCUCCUCCCUAUAGGCUGUCUCGUCGCUGUCGGUGAUCAGGCCUACCACUGUUGUGUCGUCUGCAAACUUAAUGAUGGUGUUGGAGUCGUGCCUGGCCAUGCAGUCGUGGGUGAACAGGGAGUACAGGAGGGGACUGAGCACGCACCCCUGGGGAGCUCCAGUGUUGAGGAUCAGCUUGGCAGAUGUGUUGCUACCUACCCUCACCACCUGGGGGCGGCCCAUCAGGAAGUCCAGGAUCCAGUUGCAGAGGAAGGUGGGAAAGGGCAGUGUGGAGUGCAAUAGAGGUCAUCAUCUGCAUCAUCUGUGGAUCUGUUUGAGCGGUAUGCAAAUUGGAGUGGGUCUAGGGGUUUCUGGGAUAAUGGUGUUGAUGUGAGCCAUUACCAACCUUUCAAAGGACUUCAUGGCUACGGACCUGAGUGCUAUUGUUCUGUAGUGAUUUAGGCAGGUUGCCUUUGUUUUCUUGGGCACAGGGACUAAGGUGGUCUGCUUGAAACAUGUUAGUAU